UACGGAGGGAGCUAGCGUUGUUCGGAAUUACUGGGCGUAAAGCGCACGUAGGCGGCUUGGUAUGUCGGGUGUGAAAUCCCCGGGCUCAACCCGGGAACUGCGUCCGAUACUGGCAGGCUUGAAUCCGGGAGAGGGAUGUGGAAUUCCAGGUGUAGCGGUGAAAUGCGUAGAUAUCUGGAGGAACACCGGUGGCGAAGGCGGCAUCCUGGACCGGUAUUGACGCUGAGGCGCGAAAGCCAGGGGAGCAAAGCGGG
Molecule: ribosomal RNA, 254 nt
Filed under: uncultured bacterium
Lineage: Bacteria
Description: partial 16S ribosomal RNA
Rfam family: Bacterial small subunit ribosomal RNA
Source: RNAcentral